RNA transcript from Lotus japonicus, 1687 nucleotides. It is a transcript of the gene named F-box/kelch-repeat protein At3g23880-like, with no coding region annotated. The transcript has 3 exons. The record is from RefSeq and is a predicted model, not a curated record. NCBI's taxonomy places the organism in Eukaryota, Viridiplantae, Streptophyta, Magnoliopsida, Fabales, Fabaceae.
CUCACUCCCCUGCCGUAAUCAAAACCGAGAGCUCUUCAUUCCAGUAUGUGUUCGAAACCACCGGCGGCCGUUCUGUCACGGCAGCCGUCGCCGACGAUCUUACCAGACGAAGUCCUCGGCGAGAUCUUCGUGAAGCUUCCGGUGAAAAUCCUGCUACAAUUGAAGUGCGUUUGCAAAUCAUGGAAAACCCUAAUCUCCGAUCCCCAAUUCGCCAGGUACCAAUACCAAUCCCACAGAUCAAUCAUGGCCAACGAGCGAUUGGCCUUCUUCGUCGACGGUAACCCGAGCCGAGUCGUAACGUGUUCUGUGCAAUCACUGAUCGAAACCCCAUCAAUCCCUGCUGAAACCGUUGAAUUCACCAUGAGAUUGGAGCGCGGUUACGAGAUUAUAGGUUCUUGCAAUGGGUUGUUGUGUUUGUUUGAUAACAGUUGUUGUUUCAGAUUGUGGAACCCUUGUACCAGAGCGAAAUCGGAGAAGUCGCCGGAGGCGCAGGGUUUGCGUGGUGAGAUGAUGAGACAAUGUGGGUUUGGGUAUGAUAAGGUGAAUGACAAGUACAAGGUGAUGACAUUGGUUAAUGUCGAGGUUCGUGUGAAGAAGAAGGGUUUACAGGUUAAAACUGUGGCUAAGGUUUAUACCUUUGGUGAAAAUUCGUGGACAAUGAUUCCUGGGGAUCUCCAGUGCGUUCCCGAUUCGUGGAAUAAAUUUGGGCAAUUUGCGAGUGGUAAUCUGCAUUGGCUGACUACGACGGUGAUCGAUCAGGGUAAAGUGGUUCUUUCCAUGGAUGUGGAGAAUGAGACUUGUGGUCAAUUGUUGCUACCUCCUCAUUUGAGCGCUCGUGAUGACGUGAGCCUGCAUGGCUCCGGUGACGGUCUUUAUGUGUGUCAAUUUUUCCAAACUCAUUGGGAUUUGUGGUUGAUGAAAGAAUAUGGAGUUCAGGAGUCUUGGACUAAAUUUAUGACGAUGCCUCGCGAGGAAUCCCCUUUUACUAGUUGUGCUCUUCUUUUUUUUCCCUUUUGCAUUUUGGAAAAUGGUAUUGUUCUUGUGAGAACUACAUGUUCCCAUUCCCAUCUAGUUAUUCGGUAUGACUCAAAUGAUGGCUCAUUUAGUCAUUGUAUGAUUUUGCGAGAUCAACACGGGAAGAAUGCUCGGGUUUAUCACGAGAGUCUAGUACCACCACCAUGAUCAAUUAGGCUGGGUUAGAGGUGUGCAAAGUUUAAAGUGCAAGAAGAAAAUGAAGUUACUUUCCUGGCUAAAGUGAAUGAAGGGACAGAUUUGCACUCUAUAUUCUCUGAUGAUAAUGAAGAAUAGGUUGAGUACACCUCCUAACAAGUAAUUGUCAUAUAACAAGGGGAUGUGGCAUUUUAAUGCACAUGAAUAUCCUUUAUGAAGAUGAAUGGAACGAAACAGAGAUCGGAUCAAACAACUGCCAUAGUUAGGAAAUUCAACCAUAGUGCUGAUUUUGGUUUUUCUUAAUUUUCAGUGUCUUUUUAAUCCUUGUAAGAUAUAUGGCCUUGUGCUGCAUGACUGGAGUAAACUGUCUUUAUGUGUGUCAAAUAUCUUAUAAAACUCAUUAGGUUAUGUGGCUGAGGAAAGAGUAUUGGGUUCGGGAGUCUUGGACUAAAUAGUAAAUACACGAUGAUCCCUCACUUGAAUUUCCAUAUUACUAAGAUGCGUUCAUUAUUUUAGU